Molecule: ribosomal RNA, 253 nt
Filed under: uncultured bacterium
Lineage: Bacteria
Description: partial 16S ribosomal RNA
Rfam family: Bacterial small subunit ribosomal RNA
Source: RNAcentral
UACGUAGGUGGCAAGCGUUGUCCGGAUUUACUGGGCGUAAAGAGCGCGCAGGCGGUCGUUCAAGUCGCGUGUGAAAGCCCCCGGCUCAACUGGGGAGGGUCACGCGAUACUGAUCGACUGGAAGGCAGGAGAGGGUAGUGGAAUUCCCGGUGUAGUGGUGAAAUGCGUAGAUAUCGGGAGGAACACCAGUGGCGAAGGCGACUACCUGGCCUGUUCUUGACGCUGAGGCGCGAAAGCUAGGGGAGCGAACAGG